CGAGGUAGUCAAGGCAAUCGCUUGUAGCUGUUACUUGUAACAGAUAAUGAGAGGAAAGUCCGGACUCCAAACGAAAAAAGUACCUUAGGAUAACUGGGGAAGCGUAAGCUUAUGGAAAGUGCCACAGAAAAUAACCGCCUUAUACUAUAAGUAUACGGUAAGGGUGAAAACGUGUGGUAAGAGCACACGAUAUGUCCUAGUAAUAGGCCAUAGGGGUAAACCCUACUUGGAGCAAGACAAAAUAAGCAUGUUCGGUGUUUCGUUUCGGUUUAAACAUGCGGGUAUGUCGCUUAGAUAGAUGGUUGCCAUUGUAGUUAGCUACAAACAGAAUCCGGCUUACUGAUUACCUCGUUUU
RNAcentral lists this RNase P RNA (355 nucleotides) under Candidatus Babelota bacterium. RNAcentral's name for it is "RNase P RNA component class A". It matches the Rfam family "Bacterial RNase P class A". Rfam says of the family: Ribonuclease P (RNase P) is a ubiquitous endoribonuclease, found in archaea, bacteria and eukarya as well as chloroplasts and mitochondria. The record is from RNAcentral.